RNAcentral lists this unclassified non-coding RNA (374 nucleotides) under Hevea brasiliensis (rubber tree). The record is from RNAcentral. Lineage: Eukaryota; Viridiplantae; Streptophyta; Magnoliopsida; Malpighiales; Euphorbiaceae.
AUGCGUUGUUGGUGGUGUUACGUGGUUGGGGUUUUCAUGUUGCUUCAAAUUGUGUCCCACUGUAGUCCUCCGGAGGAUCCCAUCAAAUGCGAAUCCGUAUCCCCAAAUAAACACGCCAAUUGCACCAUCACAAAUUCCUACGCCACGUUUCCGAACCGUACCAUCUGCCGUGCGGCGGAGGUGGUAUACCCAACCACAGAGGCGGAGGUUAUGUUGGCGGUGGCAGCGGCGACCAGAGGUAUGAGGAAAAUGAAGGUGGGGACUCGGUUCUCUCACAGCAUCCCCAAGCUGGCGUGUCCGGAGGGGGAAGAUGGGGUGGUGAUAAGCACCAAGUACCUGAACCGGACUGUGAAGGUGGACGUGGAGGGGAUGAG